Molecule: ribosomal RNA, 995 nt
Filed under: uncultured bacterium
Lineage: Bacteria
Description: bacterial SSU rRNA
Rfam family: Bacterial small subunit ribosomal RNA
Source: RNAcentral
GGGGAAUAUUGCACAAUGGGGGAAACCCUGAUGCAGCGACGCCGCGUGAAGGAAGAAGUAUCUCGGUAUGUAAACUUCUAUCAGCAGGGAAGAUAAUGACGGUACCUGACUAAGAAGCCCCGGCUAACUACGUGCCAGCAGCCGCGGUAAUACGUAGGGGGCAAGCGUUGUCCGGAAUUACUGGGUGUAAAGGGAGCGCAGGCGGGAAGAUAAGUUGGAAGUGAAAUCUAUGGGCUCAACCCAUAAACUGCUUUCAAAACUGUUUUUCUUGAGUAGUGCAGAGGUAGGCGGAAUUCCCGGUGUAGCGGUGGAAUGCGUAGAUAUCGGGAGGAACACCAGUGGCGAAGGCGGCCUACUGGGCACCAACUGACGCUGAGGCUCGAAAGUGUGGGUAGCAAACAGGAUUAGAUACCCUGGUAGUCCACACCGUAAACGAUGAUUACUAGGUGUUGGAGGAUUGACCCCUUCAGUGCCGCAGUUAACACAAUAAGUAAUCCACCUGGGGAGUACGACCGCAAGGUUGAAACUCAAAGGAAUUGACGGGGGCCCGCACAAGCAGUGGAGUAUGUGGUUUAAUUCGACGCAACGCGAAGAACCUUACCAAGUCUUGACAUCCCUUGACAGGCAUAGAAAUAUGUUUUCUCUUCGGAGCAAGGAGACAGGUGGUGCAUGGUUGUCGUCAGCUCGUGUCGUGAGAUGUUGGGUUAAGUCCCGCAACGAGCGCAACCCUUAUGGUCAGUUACUACGCAAGAGGACUCUGGCCAGACUGCCGUUGACAAAACGGAGGAAGGUGGGGAUGACGUCAAAUCAUCAUGCCCUUUAUGACUUGGGCUACACACGUACUACAAUGGCGUUAAACAAAGAGAAGCAAGACCGCGAGGUGGAGCAAAACUCAGAAACAACGUCCCAGUUCGGACUGCAGGCUGCAACUCGCCUGCACGAAGUCGGAAUUGCUAGUAAUCGUGGAUCAGCAUGCCACGGUGAAUACGUUCCCG